GGGUGUGUAGGAAAAUUGGUAUCCCCUCGAGACUGUAAAUUUCGCGUCCCUCGUGACAUUGCUGGUUCAAGUCCAGCCGCACCCACCA
Molecule: transfer RNA, 88 nt
Filed under: Pseudomonadales bacterium
Lineage: Bacteria; Pseudomonadati; Pseudomonadota; Gammaproteobacteria; Pseudomonadales
Description: tRNA-Tyr
Rfam family: tRNA
About the family: Transfer RNA (tRNA) molecules are approximately 80 nucleotides in length.
Source: RNAcentral